RNAcentral lists this ribosomal RNA (466 nucleotides) under uncultured bacterium. RNAcentral describes it as "partial 16S ribosomal RNA". It matches the Rfam family "Bacterial small subunit ribosomal RNA", at positions 28 to 507 of the family's 1533-position model. The record is from RNAcentral.
GAUGAACGCUGGCGGCGUGCUUAACACAUGCAAGUCGAACGAUGAAGCCCAGCUUGCUGGGUGGAUUAGUGGCGAACGGGUGAGUAACACGUGAGUAACCUGCCCUUAACUCUGGGAUAAGCCUGGGAAACUGGGUCUAAUACCGGAUAGGAGCGCCCACCGCAUGGUGGGUGUUGGAAAGAUUUAUCGGUUUUGGAUGGACUCGCGGCCUAUCAGCUUGUUGGUGAGGUAAUGGCUCACCAAGGCGACGACGGGUAGCCGGCCUGAGAGGGUGACCGGCCACACUGGGACUGAGACACGGCCCAGACUCCUACGGGAGGCAGCAGUGGGGAAUAUUGCACAAUGGGCGAAAGCCUGAUGCAGCGACGCCGCGUGAGGGAUGACGGCCUUCGGGUUGUAAACCUCUUUCAGUAGGGAAGAAGCGAAAGUGACGGUACCUGCAGAAGAAGCACCGGCUAACUACGUG